Molecule: non-coding RNA, 269 nt
Organism: Pelobates cultripes (western spadefoot toad)
Lineage: Eukaryota; Metazoa; Chordata; Amphibia; Anura; Pelobatidae
Source: the annotation of a GenBank genome assembly
GAGGAAUUCUAGACUGCUUCUAUUUCUCCCAGUGGGCUGCUCUAAAAGUCAAUGUAAUAUACUUACACAUCUCACUUCGUGAUGAAUACCAGAGAUUGAGAAUUUCCUCCACCACACCUCACUUUAUAGCAUUUAGGGGUUAACACUUACAGUAGACUUCUAUCCAAGAGCCAACUUUACAUUAACCCUGUAAUGUCCAUACAGAUAGCAAAUGCCAUCAAUGAUUUGUAAAUCAUGUUUGAAAACGAUGCUCACUUUAAUUACCAUCU